AAAAAAACCAAACGAGGCCGCCAAUCCCCGGCCUACCUCUCCCAACUCCCUAGCACUCCCGGAUCUCAAAAUAAACUCCCUAGCACUCCCUCCCUGCGCCGCCGCCCAUCGAUCUACCACCUACUACGGAUCAGUCGGCCACCACAACCUCCCUUCCCAGUCGGCCGCCACAGCGCCACCACCCCCUCCCCCGGCAGCCAUGCACAUCGGGAGGCGACCACACGCUUGGUGGGUCUCGGCCUCCCUCCUCUCAUCGUCCAAGGCCAGGAGCUCCCUUCCCUGACCGAUCUGACGGAGAGAGGGCUAGGCCUUGCCACUCAGAUGGUUGAUGUGGCCAGAUCCGACCGGGGGAGCCGCCAUAGAGCCGACACCUCGGCGGCACAGCAUCAACCCGACAGAAGCUGCAUGGAUUGGCGAUAUUAUUUUGGCUUGGAUUCAAAGUGGCAAUCUGGCGAUAUGAGUAUUUGUACAAACCGCCGAGGACCUCAAAUUCACAUGUUUCAGGCCUGAUGAGUAUCAAAUGUCAUGAGAAAUUCAAGAAUUGCAUGGGAAGGGUAAAGGCGACUAGCAGAUUGGGUUCUCCAAGGAACGCCAAUACGAACUCACUUUUUGCAACACACAUGCUCAGCCAAUUGGGCAGCCAGCUGGGAGGUAGACAAUACAUUUUUCCUCUUUCACAAAUAAAAUAUUUUGAUGCUCAAGAUUGGAUAUUAAGGCAUUAUUUUAAAUCAAUUUAUUGAUCCAAGGUCAUGGAAAGAACUAUUUUUUUCUCUUGUUGCAAUACACAGGCUCAAAGGUACAGGUGCGCGAACCCCUACUUAUAUAUAGGCAUUUUCACGUGUGUGUUGGAGCUUUGUCUGAUCGUAUAUGCUGAUUAGUGCAUGGGUCCUUGAUUGAGAAUGCUUCGAUGGAUAGGGGAUUCCAUGAAAGAGUUGGUGUGGAUUAAUAUCCUUCGGGUUUUUGCGUGGCGUGGCCCUGACAUUUAUCAGGGACUAGAAUAUAUCUGAAUUGUGUGUAGCGAUUGUCCAUCUACUUAGUUAUUGUAGGCAUUCUGUUUCACAUAAAUAUAGAUAUAUUUGAAUCAUGAGUAACUACAUGUCCACUCUUCGUCCAAAGUUUUUGCUUAUGCAAUAUGAUUGGACUAUUUAGUUCGCAUCCUUCUCCCUUUGCAGAUUAUAAUGCAUUUUGAAAUUGUUCAUGUGCUUCAUUUUUGCACUCUUGCUACUCUCUGGAGAAAUUAUUUGCUCUACCUAAAGCAUGGCUCCUAUGUUGGUAUUCAUGGCCAAUCUAGCUAUUUUAUGUUUAGUAAAUUGUUUGCACUAAUGUACAGAGCCUUCUAAUUUUUUUGAUCCGUCCCAGUAUCCUGACCCAUUGUUUGCAUUUUACUUACACAUGCUCUAGAAAUUACACAGUAUGUAGCACAAGAUUAUACUGCUGAAUUGUUGAUGAUAUUAGUGGGCUCAAUCUUGUGGUGUCCUUACUCUGAAAACAACAUCCGACAUCGAUGAUUAUUGUUACCCCUACAGAUGGUUAGAUUUUGAAGGCUCUGUACUCGAAAUCAUAUGGGAAUUUCAUGUUGUUGCAUCCAGGUGCUGGAAUUCCUCACAUUGGAGUGAAAACAAUUAUGUCUAUGCAUGUAGCAGCAAGGACUUAAUAUUGGGUACAUCCGUCGUUGAAGUAUAAAGCAAAGAAGCACACAACAACUUCUGAAGCCUUCUUAUAUUUUCGGAUCCUUGUCGAGUCUGUUCAGUCAUAUAAUGAUACACCACUGACAGGGGAUGAGGCAGGGGAGGGGUGCCGUUAUUGCAUACAAGACAUGACUUCCACUACAAGAAACACUUAAGAAGAAUGAGUGCCUUUUAGGCCCAGGUCAUAUUCAAACAACAAUUUGCUAUCAUGCUCUCGCCAUUGCAUUCAGCUGUAUGAGUGCAUACAAGCUUUCAAUUCAGGUUAGCUCUAACAAAAAAUUGGCAGAAUAACAUUUUGACACAUUUAACUGACUUCUUGAUUUUGGUGGCAGCAUGAAACACAGACACAUGAUAUACUGGUAAAAUAGUUAGGGUCUGAUGAUUCAUGAACAAAAGAUUCAUAAAAUUGGUUGAAUCAUUUAAGGAGCGAGAACAGCAAGUAUGUGAUGAAAAAUUAUUUCCCAUGGUUGUUUCACUCUUGGUUCAGGGAUUCUUGCACAUUAUCAAAGUAGCAACUUGUCAAGGUGAUGUUCCUAUCUUGUUUAUGCUAGACGUAGUUGUUUAUUUGUGACAUCAAACAGUUUACAACAUUAGAGAUUUUUACAAAAUGUGGUAAUUGUUCUUUCACAAAUUUCUCAAGAACAAUAAUAAUUGGUUGCCAUUUUUAAUCCUUUGUAAUUUGUAGUUUAUUUGAAUAUUACAGAAACGGUUGACAUCUAAUUUGCCAUCAUGUUGUUUUACACAUAAUUUAUUUAUCUCCUUUCUAAUGUGUAAAUGGUUAAUACUGAAGACUCAUUUUGUGAAUUAAGGAUCAUUUAGAGAAUUUAAUGACUAUAGUUUUCAUGUAUGGUGUGCCUCCCUUGAGUUGGAGAAUAUUUACAAUUUCAUCAACAUGCAGCUAUAGUGUUUGACCAACACAGUUUUGCCCGCAAAACUUUUAUUCUUUCCUUGUUCUGGUUAGUACCGGUGUAGAUUUUCUUCUUAUAAAAAAUAAUAAAAUAUAAAUAUAUUUUCAUUGUUACGAGAAAAUUAGAUUGGUCACAAAAACAUGUUACUUCAGCAACAGUUAUUUUUCAACUGAAAUCAACUUUGCUUACCAGGCGCUAGCUAUCCCCGACAACAUAUUUGCACUCUGAUUAUACUUGAGCAGUAAUAUCACGCAAUGGUUCUGUUCCCUCCUUGCAUUUACCUCUCCUUUCUUGAUUUUGUCCUUAAAUGAUGACUAGAUAUGUCCAUGGAUAAAGUGAUCUGAUGUACAUGAGGAUCGUAAAGUUAUAUGUUCCACAUGAUUGGUGUUUAAUCACCAAAAUGUGUAUACCCUUGUUUUCCUGACAUGGAUGAACCUGAUAUGGGUGUGUUGUCUGUUGCAGGUCAUUGCCAAAUGCCAACCAAUGUGCCAGCAUGGGACCGGGGAAAGGGAAAGACCAUGGAGGUGCAAGUCUGAGAUGAAGAGAUGGCGACACAUAAUUGAGCUAGAGGCAACAACACUCAGGCCAACAGAGGAAGGAGAUGGAAGGAGGAAGAAAAAGUCAUGGCCGUGGGGAUAAGAAUGAGUGGCUCACACCAUUAGUACUAGGGAUAAGGUUGGUAAAAAAGAAAGGAAACAUCGGCAUUGUGUGAGCCAACAUGAAACGAGCGCGGUGUGAUUGGGGUUGGCCGUUUUGAAUCGUUUUCCAUUCAACUACUGGUUGCUCGGUUUCAGCAAAAAAAAAUUGAGUUGCCAAUAACAUAUUUUUGUAUUUGAUAGUAUGAUGUGUGUUAGUUGAUUGUCAAAAAAUAUGCAUUAUUUAAGAUGUGC
RNAcentral lists this ribosomal RNA (3486 nucleotides) under Triticum aestivum (bread wheat). RNAcentral's name for it is "partial small subunit ribosomal RNA". The record is from RNAcentral. Lineage: Eukaryota; Viridiplantae; Streptophyta; Magnoliopsida; Poales; Poaceae.